AUUGUGACAUACGUAGCUGGUACAAAAGAAUGUUUGCUUGCCCUCUUGAAGGUCUUGAACACUGCUGGAAGCCUACUAGAUAUUUAAUGUAAUCACCAUGAUAAUGGCUAAGAUUUAUUAAGCAUCUGCUAUGUGCUUUAUGGUGCUAAGAACUUCUCAUGUAUUUACUCAUUGAAUCUUCACAAAAACCUUAUGAACAUCAGAGCUGAUGAAUACUCAGUCAGAAGAAAUGCAGGCCUGCAGGUUUGUCCACAAAGUGUUCCCAUCAACCGUGACGGCUCUCUCAAAUGUUACUGUCUAUAUGAAUCCACCUUGGGAUAUUAGUAAAAUGAGUUUCUGAUACAGAAGAUCUAGAAAGCGCCUGAAAUGCUGAUAUUCUGUCUCCCAGGUGGAGGAGUUCAGCUAUUACCUUGACUUUGCCGAAGUCCUAGGCACUCCCAUGCCCUCAGAGUCUCAUUUUGAAUCCAGGCACUUAGGGAUGCUAUUUUUCCACAUCAAACAGCUUCCUCCCAGCCAAAGAAUUCUGGUGACAGUAGUGAAGAUAAUUUUCACUCCUGCUUACAGAAUGACAAAGCAAAAGCAAAGAGGAGAAGAAUGAAGUAAAGACAACCAAAGGAAAAGACUGAUGGCUCCUUAAGAAUGAUCUUGAUAAAGGAAUGGUGGCUGAGGGGUCCAUCUCCUAAACCACCCACCUUACUGACUCCCUAGAGCAAUGCCAUACAGAAAGCUGCACCUUGAGGGGAAGACACAAGAAUCCUGGAGUGGAAAAAAAUUGGGUAAUGAUGACAGCCUUCGAGGUCUUGAGAGUAAAGCAGAAGCAAAAAAAAAGUGUUAUUUUUAUCUUUUGAAGAUGGUUCCCUCUUAAGACUUUUGCGAAUGAUUAAGAUUUCAAUUAUGUUCCAGGAAAAAAAUAAGAUUUUUGCUUGACAAAAAAAAUUUUUGUCUAGAACAGGUGGGAAGGAAGAGAUAGUUUAGCCACAUCCAAGAGACCUGUAAAUUGGGUACAGUGAAGUGAAUGGUGUACCAGUCAUAAAAGAAUGUUAACUGGAGAAGUCUCUGCUGUCUUCCUGUAACUGAGGGGGGUGUAACCAUCCUUGUGGAAGCGUCCACUUUUAUUGAAGAUUGGCUAAAUAAAUCUGUGCCUACUGAAACUCAAGCCAUUUCAAA
Molecule: long non-coding RNA, 1167 nt
Organism: Homo sapiens (human)
Lineage: Eukaryota; Metazoa; Chordata; Mammalia; Primates; Hominidae
Product: long intergenic non-protein coding RNA 2180
Source: Ensembl